RNAcentral lists this unclassified non-coding RNA (2226 nucleotides) under uncultured fungus. RNAcentral describes it as "sequence contains 18S rRNA gene, ITS1, 5.8S rRNA gene, ITS2, 28S rRNA gene". The stretch from base 1041 to 2226 matches the Rfam family "Eukaryotic large subunit ribosomal RNA", at positions 1 to 961 of the family's 3401-position model. The record is from RNAcentral. Lineage: Eukaryota; Fungi.
GGAAGGAUCAUUAACGAGCUAUAUAUACAUUUUUAAUGUAUACUAUGCAUUAUUUGCGCUUGUAAAUGCGUCGAUAUGUAUAUGUACAUCGUAUAUAUGUGAGACCAUUCGAAUUCGGAAUAGGCUACAGACGAGCCUCCUCUGUAGCACUAUAUACAGUUCGUUUGGGCUAUAUUCAAUGGGCUAUUCCUCAAAGGCGCGUGUAUACGUAAAUUAUACGCCGCCUUUGUCGUGGGUACCUGAUCACCCGACUGCAGACGAGGCCCGUCUGCGUGGAAGUCGGUUGUGGUAAAGUUUCUUUCAGUACACAUAGUCAAAUCAGUCUAUUCAGUAAAAGUAGACUGUAUUGGCGCUCGUAAAUAUAUGUCUGAAUGAAAUGGUGGUUUAAAGAGUCGCGUAAACUCUAGCUUUUUUUAGCUAGUACGACCGCCCGCAAAAACUCUAUACAUAGUUUAAAAUAUACGUAUAUAAUGUCUCUUUUGUCUUGUAAACUGAAAGAGACUUUGUAUCUAAAAGAAUAUGGAUCGAAUAGAUCCCAUUCUAAGCGGUGAAUCACUAGGCUCGUGGGUCGAUGAAGAACGGGGCCAGUCCCGAGAAAAAGUGUGAAUUGCAGACACAAAGAACAUCGACAUUUUGAACGCAAAUUGCGGUAUCAGGCUUGCUUGAUACCACGUCUAUUUGAGGGUCGUUUGAUACGACAUCUAUUAUAGUGCCAUUAUAAGUGGUGCUGUAUAUGUAUAUGUUUAUAUAGGCGUGUGGUAAAAGUGUAUACGCCUGAUAUAGAUGAAUAUGUAUAUGUAACGACCAUGAUGUAAAUUAUAUAUGGUCUCUAUUUAUAUACAUACGUUCGAUGGAAGAGUAUAAGAUGCAUCGUAGUCGAUGUUAGCCUUUUGCGCAUUAUAGAUAGAUUGAAAUAUAGUCUACGAAGACAGUAAACGUCUUCUAUGUAGCUUAUUUCUUGCCUCAUCUAUCUAUACUCGCCAUAUAGGUCUGACUGCGCAAAGUCUUAUACGUUGACGACAUCGUUCUAUUUCAAUGUUCGACCUCAAAUUAGACGUGAUUACCCGCUGAAUUUAAGCAUAUAAGUAGGCGGUGGAAAGAAAUUAACUAAGAUUUCCUUAGUAACGGCGAGUGAAAAGGAACGCAGUUCAGCGCUGAAUCCUUUAGCCUAUGGCUUUAAGGACCUGUAGCGUUAAGGAGAGCCUAUCUGUCGAUAUGUUCGCUUCGGAAGCGCCCUUGAACGGGACUCCAUAGAAGGUGCGAGGCCUGUACCGAAGCGGCAUUCGAUAGUUUGCGCCUCCGUAGAGUCGAGUUGCUUGAGAGUGCAGCUCUAAGUCGAAGGUAAACCACUUCUAAAACUAAAUAUGACCACGAGACCGAUAGCGAACAAGUACCGCGAGGGAAAGUUGAAAAGAACUUUGAAGAGAGAGUUCAAAAGGGCGUGAAACCGCUUAGAAGAUAAACGAAUGGAGCUGUCGGUAGCUUAUGGAAAUCAGUUAAACGAUAGACGAACAGGCGUUUAUUAGUUAGAACGUAAGUCUAACUACGUGAAUGCAUAGUAGUCGACGCUUAGCGCAUUUUUCAUAGGUUUGCACUGCAACCGGUAUAUAUGGCUGUCGUAGGCGUACGCGAUUGAGGGCGAGAACCUUCGGGCUUUCGUAACCAGUCGUCGUGCGUUUUUGUCAGACCAUCGUUAUCGGCGAUAUGUGACGUUACGACGACGUCGGCUGUAAAGCUCGUCUGAGCGAUACGGCGAUCGGCCAUUCGGUUGGUAUCUGCUCGCAGAUGCCCGAUUGAAUCGGUUAGUCGUUCCGUUCGUUCGGCGACGUUCGACGUCGUGGCGUUCGCAGUGUCUGCGUCAGUCACCCAUUCGACCCGUCUUGAAACACGGACCAAGGAGUCUAACAUAUGCGCGAGCCAAUAAGUAUAAAUAAACUUAGAGGCGCAAUAAAAGUAAAAACUGUCCUUGUCGGCAGUCUAGGUACGAUCCUAGUUGUGUAUUAACGUAUACACUAGGCGCAGUACCGUCCCGUCCCAUCCUUUUAUAGGUAGGGCGGAGAAAGAGUGCAUACGUUGGGACCCGAAAGAUGGUGAACUAUGCCUGAGCAGAGCGAAGCCAGAGGAAACUCUGGUGGAGGUUCGUAGCGGUUCUGACGUGCAAAUCGAUCGUCAGACUUGGGUAUAGGGGCGAAAGACUAAUCGAACCAUCUAGUAGCUGGUUCCUGC